UGAGUCACAAUGAAGGUGAUGAAGAAGCAGAAGCAAAGACAGGUCCAUUCAAUAAGCAUAACGCCCGCCCUCACAGGGUGAGGAACAGUUGGCCCAGCUGUGGAGUCUCUGAGCUGGAGCAAGGCAGAAGGGCAUGCCCAGGAAAAGCAUGCAAGGUAAUAGUUUCAGAACAUCAGAAACUGGGUUGCAACCCUUGUGAUUAAGCAGGGCCUUGCUUCGAUGACUGAUGAGUCUCCAGCCCACACAGGCCCCUGGGACAUGAUGGCUGCUGCCAGCCCUAAUCCAGAGCUAUAGAUGCUGGUGUUGGACACACGUGGAGAUCCUGGAGCGUGCUCUUGACUUGUGGAACUGGAGACCACCUCAGGCCUGGAAGCCAGCCUCAACUUCCUAAGGCUUCCCACGUCCUGACGAUGUAAAGGCACUGAAGGAAGACAUUCUCAAGCUACUGGCCAUUGGGAUGGUGCUUGAUUUCCUCCUGUUCCUACCAUGGGAGGUCCAGCUGGACUAGCUGAAGGGGAGGAGGGAUUCCACUCGGGCUCACCAUCAUGAACAGAGUGGUCACGAACCCAGAGAAACUUGUCAUUGUCACCAGAAAUGCUACUUGGCUGCUUCCUUCCUGAACUUGGGCUGAGGACUGAAAUGGAAAUGACCCAGUAAGGAAGGAAAAUGAGCACAGCCUGCCCUAGUCACAUAAUGAAAAUACAUACGCUGGCCAAAGAUCAUUCAUUUAUCAUUUAGUCAACAGAUACCGAACACCUUCUAUGUGUCAAGAUACUGGUGUUUUAACAAAUGAACACGGAAUAUCUGCUGUUGGGGAGCUCAUGUCUGAUGGGAAACACUGACAAAGUGUGGUGGACAUUAUGUACUGAAAUUAUAUUGAAAUUAUACUACCUGCAGGAUCUGGGAAACCUAUAUCCAAGCAGAAGUGAUGGCUGAACAGUGAGGCAGCUAAGGCUGAGAGAAAUGGAUCACCUUCUCCAAAUUCUCUCAGGUGGCUGAUGACAGGCUUGGAACUGGAGAAAUCAGUCAGGAGUAAAAUCCUGACUUCCUGCAACCACCUCCUUCCUGAGGCUUCCUGGAGCCCGACAGUUGGUGUUUUCUUCUCUAGCUCUUGCUCAUCCAGUAUGAAUAGUUGAUUUUUGCUCUUUCCUGCACUGAUCCAUUUUUACCUCAGUAGAAUUCACAUUUAUCCCUAAAGCCAGACAUCCUCCCUAUUUCCCUCUGAGGAUUGACAUCCAGAUAAACUGAGCUGAUAGAUAACUGUGCUUUGACAGUCAUACUGUAACACAGAUCUCAGUACAGACACUGCUGUCUAAGUAACAUACUAAUUCAGACAGUGAAGGGAACAAUCACUAAUCAAUACUAGGCUCUGUGGGGGUGAGGGAUGUAUUCAUGUACAGCACAGCCCAUCCCUAAGGACAUUCGUGGAAAAUGGGUGAUACAAGGUUAAAGACGGAAGAAAGCAAGAGUUUACAUCACUUAUGGAGGAAAUGUCCUCUCCGAACCCUGUCUGUUCAAGCACAACAUAUUAAUAGCAUAAUAUUAAUGAUGGCUCAACCAUUUGAUUUUAUAUCCAGGCACUGUCGGUUACUUUCUUUAUGACUCUGGGCAAACUGCUCAAAUUUUCUGAUGAUGGAAAAACUCAGUUGUGAUAGGGUGCACAGAUGGGGCACCUCAGUUGUGAGAUCGGAAUGGUAAGAAUAGUACUGAUUUCAUGCUUCACUGUGAGGAUAAGAUAGAUAACCAUACAUAUAAAGUACUUGCCACAGUGGCUGCUCCAGAGGAAGCAGUGAUUAAAUAUUAGGCUUAUGAUUCUUAUCCAGUUCCAACCCUUUUCUGUCUGCAAAUCCUUCCCAGAUCUCCCAUCAGAACUCAUCUCUUUACUUCUGUAUCCUCAUAUCAAUAUGGGUAUGCCUCCCAUCACAUUCUGGACCUGGGUGUUAGUUUCUGGCACAGAAAAAAAAAAA
Molecule: long non-coding RNA, 1967 nt
Organism: Tupaia belangeri chinensis (Chinese tree shrew)
Lineage: Eukaryota; Metazoa; Chordata; Mammalia; Scandentia; Tupaiidae
Exons: 5
Source: RefSeq, a predicted model, not a curated record